AAAAUGCAAGGUAUCUAACUCCAUAGUGACCCCUUUUGGAGGUCACUAUGGAGUUAGAUACCUUGAAUUUU
Molecule: non-coding RNA, 71 nt
Organism: Paramuricea clavata
Lineage: Eukaryota; Metazoa; Cnidaria; Anthozoa; Malacalcyonacea; Plexauridae
Source: the annotation of a GenBank genome assembly